UCUCCGUUAUCCGGAGCAGUCCUCGUAGAGUUCCCCCUUGCGGGUGGCAACUACGAAUAAGGGUUGCGCUCGUUGCGGGACUUAACCCAACACCUCACGGCACGAGCUGACGACAGCCAUGCAGCACCUCUACUACUGUCCCUUGCGGGAAGACGAUAUUUCUACCGUUGGUCAGUAGCGGUUCAAGCCCAGGUAAGGUUCUUCGCGUUGCGUCGAAUUGAACCACAUGUUCCACCGCUUGUGCGGGCCCCCGUCAAUUCCUUUGAGUUUCAGUCUUGCGACCGUACUCCCCAGGCGCAGGACUUAACGCGUUAGCUACGGGACGACCCGCCUACGCGGGCCACCCCAAGUCCUGAUGGUUUAGGGCUAGGACUAC
Molecule: unclassified non-coding RNA, 376 nt
Filed under: uncultured Terriglobia bacterium
Lineage: Bacteria; Pseudomonadati; Acidobacteriota; Terriglobia
Description: uncultured Acidobacteriia bacterium contains 16S-23S intergenic spacer region
Source: RNAcentral